GAGGAUGGAGUAGUGGUCUGAGUGUUGGACUAGGACUUUGAAGACCAGGGUUCAAAUCCCUGUUCAGCCA
Molecule: non-coding RNA, 70 nt
Organism: Phrynosoma platyrhinos (Desert horned lizard)
Lineage: Eukaryota; Metazoa; Chordata; Lepidosauria; Squamata; Phrynosomatidae
Source: the annotation of a GenBank genome assembly